AUGGUAACACUUGAAGAUUAUAUUUCUUUCUGGAUGCAUAAAUCUCUGCAAAUAGCAAUGACAGAAGGAACAACAACAACAAAAGAACAUUAUUCCCUGGACUUCACAAUCUGUGAUGUUUGUGUAGCAAUUGCCGAAGGAGACAAUGGAAGGAGGAGAGAUUUUCUUCUCAAACUCUGAGUGAUUUGAAAUAUAAUCCGUAAUUUCAGGAUGGCAACACAAAAAAUUCUAUAUUUAUUCUAAUAUAGAAUAUUCUAUAGUAAGUGUGUGAAUGCAUGUGUAUAUACAUCAGGAAUAGUGCUGCAUUGCAAUUCAGGAAUCCCUUUUUAUUUUUCUAAUUUUUUAAAGUUAUUGGUUGACUGAUUGAAGUACAGUUGAUUUACAAUGUUUCAGGUAUAAAGUGAUUCCGUUUUAUACAUACAUUUUUUCAUUUCAGAUUUUUCCAUUAUAGGUGAUUACAAGAUAAGGAAUAUAGUUCCCUGUGCUAUUAAGUAGGUCCUUGUUUGUUUUACAUAUAGUACUGCGUAUCUGUUAAUCCCAUAUUCCAAAUUUAUCCCUCUUCACCUCUUCCCCCUUUGGUAACCAUAGCUUUGAAAAGGCAAAUCUGUCUUUCUGUCUGCAAACCUAUUUCUGUUUUGUAAAUAAGUUCAUUUAUAUCAUCUUUUUAGAUUCCACAUAUGUGAUAUUAUAUGAUAUUUGUCUUUUUGUAACUUCACUUAGUGUGAUAAUCUCUAGGUGCAUCCAUGUUGCUGCAAAUGGUAUCACUGCAUUCUUUUUUUGGCUGAGUAAUAUUCCAUUGUGUGUUGUGUGUGUGUGCGCGCACUGAUACACAUUAAAAACUGCAUAUUUGAUAUUUACAAUUUGAUGUUUGGCAUGUGUACGUCAUUAGCUUGACAUGUGCACAUCAACCUAUGGUAUCAUAACCACAAUCAAGGGAAUAAACAUAUAUGUCAUCUCCAAAAGUUUCUUUGUGCCCCUUUCUUUGCAAAUAUCUUUAAGAUGAGAUCUAUCCUCCUAAAAAAUUCUUAGGUACACAGCACUGUAUUGUUAACUAUAGGCCCUAUGUCAGGAUUUCCUAUUUUUAACUAUUCAAAUCAUGAUUAAUCUAGAUCAUAUCAUUUUCAGAGUGACUCAACAGUGAUCCUAAAAGCUAUGGUAAAAAAUAAAUAAAUAUAUAUAUAUAUAUACUUGAUUUAAAGUGCAAUUCUUAAAAACAAAGCAAUCUGCAUUCACUAAAAUUCAUAAAAAGUAAAGAAACAAAUCAUUAAUCAUCUCUUAUUUUUUAUGGGUUUGGGUGGGUUAACUAUUUUCUUCAGAAGAAGAGAUAUAUUAGAAGAAAUCAUUGAUUGCUAUGUCUUUUCUACUUGUUAGCAUUAUGAUUAUACCCACUGUAAAUUACUAGAGGUCUAUUUUGAAACAAAGUCACACCCAUAAAUCUACUGCUAUAUCAGUAUUUAGAAA
This 1461-nucleotide long non-coding RNA is filed under the name Ovis aries (sheep). RNAcentral describes it as "lncRNA (ENSOARG00000025827.1)". Lineage: Eukaryota; Metazoa; Chordata; Mammalia; Artiodactyla; Bovidae. The record is from RNAcentral.